AACGCACCUUGCGCUCCUUGGUAUUCCGAGGAGCAUGCCUGUUUGAGUGUCAUUAAAUUCUCAACCAUCCAUUAAUUUGGUUUGGCUUGGAUGUGGGGGUUGCAGGCUUCAUUUGACUAUGAGGUCAGCUCUCCUUAAAUGCAUUAGUGGAACUUUUGUUGACCAUCUAUUGGUGUGAUAUCUAUCUACACUGUGGAUGGGUUAGCGGUGUUCAGCUUCUAACCGUCUAUUAUUGACUUACUUUUGACCAUUUGACCUCAAAUCAGGUAGGACUACCCGCUGAACUUAA
This 289-nucleotide unclassified non-coding RNA is filed under the name uncultured Laccaria. RNAcentral describes it as "sequence contains ITS2". The stretch from base 1 to 52 matches the Rfam family "5.8S ribosomal RNA", at positions 103 to 154 of the family's 154-position model. Lineage: Eukaryota; Fungi; Basidiomycota; Agaricomycetes; Agaricales; Tricholomataceae. The record is from RNAcentral.